GGGGGCAACCCUGGUGGCGAGUGGCGAACGGGUGAGUAAUACAUCGGAACGUGCCCAGUCGUGGGGGAUAACGUAGCGAAAGCUACGCUAAUACCGCAUACGAACUGAGGUUGAAAGCGGGGGAUCGCAAGACCUCGCGCGAUUGGAGCGGCCGAUGGCAGAUUAGGUAGUUGGUGGGGUAAAGGCCUACCAAGCCGACGAUCUGUAGCUGGUCUGAGGGGACGACCAGCCACACUGGGACUGAGACACGGCCCAGACUCCUACGGGAGGCAGCAGUGGGGAAUUUUGGACAAUGGGCGCAAGCCUGAUCCAGCCAUUCCGCGUGCAGGAUGAAGGCCCUCGGGUUGUAAACUGCUUUUGUACGGAACGAAAAGGCUUCCUCUAAUACAGGAGGCUGAUGACGGUACCGUAAGAAUAAGCACCGGCUAACUACGUGCCAGCAGCCGCGGUAAUACGUAGGGUGCGAGCGUUAAUCGGAAUUACUGGGCGUAAAGCGUGCGCAGGCGGUUGUGUAAGACAGAUGUGAAAUCCCCGGGCUUAACCUGGGAACUGCAUU
This 556-nucleotide ribosomal RNA is filed under the name uncultured Variovorax sp. Its description in RNAcentral is "bacterial SSU rRNA". It matches the Rfam family "Bacterial small subunit ribosomal RNA", at positions 75 to 627 of the family's 1533-position model. Lineage: Bacteria; Pseudomonadati; Pseudomonadota; Betaproteobacteria; Burkholderiales; Comamonadaceae. The record is from RNAcentral.